This 327-nucleotide ribosomal RNA is filed under the name uncultured bacterium. RNAcentral's name for it is "bacterial SSU rRNA". It matches the Rfam family "Bacterial small subunit ribosomal RNA", at positions 30 to 350 of the family's 1533-position model. The record is from RNAcentral.
AUUGAACGCUGGCGGCGUGCUUAACACAUGCAAGUCGAUCGGUAACAGGUGUAGCAAUACAUGCUGACGAGAGGCGGACGGGUUAGUAAUGCUUGGGAAUCUGCCUAUUAGUGGGGGACGAACCCGGGAAACGUCGGGCGUAAUACCGCAUACGCUCUACGGAGGAAAGCCGGGGACCGGCAAGGCCUGGCGCUAAUAGAUGAGCCCAACGUCGGAUUAGCUAGUUGGUAGGGUAACGGCCUACCAAGGCGACAAUCCGUAGCUGGUCUGAGAGGACGACCAGCCACACCGGAACUGAGACACGGUCCGGACUCCUACCGGGAGGGC